Molecule: transfer RNA, 76 nt
Filed under: Yersinia intermedia ATCC 29909
Lineage: Bacteria; Pseudomonadati; Pseudomonadota; Gammaproteobacteria; Enterobacterales; Yersiniaceae
Also listed under: 2 other names
Description: tRNA-Lys
Source: RNAcentral
UGGUGGGUCGUGCGGGAUUCGAACCUGCGACCAAUUGAUUAAAAGUCAACUGCUCUACCAACUGAGCUAACGACCC